CCGGGCGAGGAAGGCAGGACGGGGACGCCAGACCAUCCCAAGGCUGAGCGAAGACGUUGCAGGACCACACUGUUUCCCAAAUGUAAACUUGAAAACGAAAGGAACGAAACUUUUCGUAGAUUUUGUUCCUCAGAGAAGGGUGUGCUGAGGAACCCCCUCACCCAAGGACAGCGCGGGGGCAGCCCUCACCCCGCCCCGCAGAGCCAGCCUGGGCUCGGGAUUGUCUCUCAAGAAUGUAAGUGUGUCAGGAACCCUGACACUGUCAUGAAGAGCAAGAAGGAAAAACUCAGAGAAUUCAAACUCAGCUGGAAACUGCUGGAGGAGCUGCCAGACGCAAUCAAGGAAGAGGAGAAACACUGGGGCCUGAAAAAAGGGUCACUGGCUGUGUAGAAACCUCCACAGCGGAGAAGAUCACUACCCCCAGGGUGAUGCCAGGACAGGCGCUUCAAAUGGAGAGCAUGAAUCAUACCUGUAUGCACGGUGCAGCAGAAAAGGCGAGAAACUGAAAUCUCUCCACGAUGCAGACACAAGUACAGGUAUGUUUAUGUGCAUGUUCUGGGGUGGUGGUGGGAGGCCCAAGGAAAAGAUCUCACCAACUUUAUCCAUCGAACACACACAUGCACACAUGCCCGCACACACACACCACCCCAACCAAUUAGAAACUGGA
Myotis davidii is the source of this 667-nucleotide long non-coding RNA. RefSeq lists it as uncharacterized. NCBI's taxonomy places the organism in Eukaryota, Metazoa, Chordata, Mammalia, Chiroptera, Vespertilionidae. The transcript has 4 exons. The record is from RefSeq and is a predicted model, not a curated record.